AAACAGAGAGAAACAGUAAGAGACAGAAACAUAGAGAGAGAGUUGAUCUGCAAGUAAAAGUAAUUUCCGAUUCUUCUUUAUCGCAUAAAUCUGAAGGCCAUCAGCAUCAUCAUCAACAUUACCCAUGAGCAAGUACAGUUACUACUAUGUGAGAAAACCUGAAGUGUACUUCGUCGUUAUUGAAACCUUCGAAGACCGAAGUAUUUUAAACUUAAAUUUUAAGUGUAAGUUUGCCGCGAAUAUUCGAAAUUGUAACAAAUAUGGAUAAAAAAAAAAAAGAAAAAAACAUUACGAAAACAAACAUGAAAUUCUUUCGUUUUCAUGGGCUUCUCUUCUAGAUACUCAACUAUCAUUUCGGAAGAUAUCAGCGUACAGAUUAUUUUGGU
Drosophila navojoa is the source of this 386-nucleotide long non-coding RNA. The record is from RefSeq and is a predicted model, not a curated record. Lineage: Eukaryota; Metazoa; Arthropoda; Insecta; Diptera; Drosophilidae.